RNAcentral lists this long non-coding RNA (1714 nucleotides) under Homo sapiens (human). RNAcentral describes it as "HSALNT0367677". The record is from RNAcentral. Lineage: Eukaryota; Metazoa; Chordata; Mammalia; Primates; Hominidae.
GUGGAUCCCUUGAGUUUAGGAGUUUGAGACCUGGGCCUGGCAACAUAGCAAAGUCCCACCUCUACAAAAAAAAUACAAAAAAUUAUUCGGGCCUAGUAGUGUGGGCCUGUAGUCCCAGCUACUUGGUAGGCUGAGUUGGGAGGAUCACUUGAGCCUGGUAGAUGGAGGUUGCAGUGAGCCGAGAUCGUGCCACUGUACUCCAGCCUGGGUGACAGAGUGAUACCCUGUCUCAAACAAACAAACAAACAAACACCUGCCGCCCCACCCCACAAAACUAAUUAUUUCAUUGAGUGAUUCCUGUCUACUUUAUAGAAAACAAAACAAAUGACUGAGACCAGCCUGGGCAAUAUAAUAAGACUCUGUCUCUGGGGGGAAAAAAAAGAAAGGAAGAAAGAGAAAAAAGAAAAAAGAUGAAGAAAACAAAUAACUUAAAGUUCACUUAAAAGUAUUAUAAAGCACAUGACAGACCUUUUUUAUUAUUUUUAUUUUUUGUGGGUACAGAGAAGGUUUAUGUAUUUAUGGGAUACAUGAGAUGUUUUGAUACAGGCGUGCAAUGUGAAAUAAGCACAUCAUGAAGAAUGGAGUAUCCAUCCCCUCAAGCAUUUAUCCUUUUAGUUAAAAACAAUCCAAUUACAGUCUUUAAGUUUUUUAAAAGUGUAAAAUUACGUUACUAUUGACUAUAGUCACCUUAUUGUGCUACCAAAUAGUAGGUCUUAUUCAUUAUUUAUAUAUUUUUUGUACUCAUUAACUUUCCCUACCUUUCCCCCCCACUGCCCCACCCCCACUACCCUUCCCAUAUUCUGGUAACCACCCUUAUGCCCAUGAGUUCAUUUGCUUUGAUUUUUGGAUCCCACAAAUAAGUGAGAACAUGCAAUGUUUGUCUUUCUGUGCCUGGCUUAUUUUGCUUCACAUAAUGAUCUCCAGUUCCAUUCAUGUUGCAAAUGACUGGACCUCAUUCUUUUUUUUGGCUGAGUAGUGCUCCAUUGUGUAUAUGUACCAUAUUUUCUUUACCCAUUGAUCUGUUGAUGGACACUUAGCUAUUGUAAACAGUACUGCAACAAACAUAGGUGUGCAGAUAUCUCUUCAGUAUACUGAUUUUCUUUCUUUUGGGUAUAUACCCAGCAGUGGGAUUACUGGACUGACAGACCAUUUUAAAAAUUCAAAACAAAGUUGAAACAUAAUUGAGAUAUUUUUACAAAAUUGAGCCAAAAUAGAAUUUUAAUUUUUAGAUACAGUAAAAUGAAUCUAUAACUUGGUUUCUUUUAAAAAUCAUCAAAUAUUCAGGAAUAUUAACUAAAAUUGACAUAUCAACAAAUGUUUCAAAGGAGAGAAUUAACUUGAAAGUGCUUUUAAAUGUAAAUUGCUAUAUAAAUAGAAAAUAUAAAAGAUAGUUUUACUCAGUUCUUUGUACCAAGCAUCAUCAGGCACUGAGGGCAAGUCACAAAUAAGCAAGGAAAUAAACGAACCACAGCCUGUUGUUUCUUUUUAAAGGAUGCUGACAGUCACUUCCUGUCUGAGAGCGUGUCAUCUUUUGCUUCCCUAUUUGAAUCAGGAUAUUCUCGUGACUAGACAUGUUUAUAUUCAUGCCCACACAAAUGUCUACCAACUGAAUGUAUGGACCAAAUCCGAUUAUUUGGGAAUGGGGCCUCAGUUCUACAUUUCAAUAAAGUAUUCUGAGUUAAAUUAAUGUGAUCUAUCUGUGAACUUUCAUUUA